CAGAGAUGAGAAUGUGCCUUCGGGAACCGUGAGACAGGUGCUGCAUGGCUGUCGUCAGCUCGUGUUGUGAAAUGUUGGGUUAAGUCCCGCAACGAGCGCAACCCUUAUCCUUUGUUGCCAGCGGUCCGGCCGGGAACUCAAAGGAGACUGCCAGUGAUAAACUGGAGGAAGGUGGGGAUGACGUCAAGUCAUCAUGGCCCUUACGACCAGGGCUACACACGUGCUACAAUGGCGCAUACAAAGAGAAGCGACCUCGCGAGAGCAAGCGGACCUCAUAAAGUGCGUCGUAGUCCGGAUUGGAGUCUGCAACUCGACUCCAUGAAGUCGGAAUCGCUAGUAAUCGUGGAUCAGAAUGCCACGGUGAAUACGUUCCCGGGCCUUGUACACACCGCCCGUCACACCAUGGGAGUGGGUUGCAAAAGAAGUAGGUAGCUUAACCUUCGGGAGGGCGCUUACCACUUUGUGAUUCAUGACUGGGGUGAAGUCGUAACAAGGUAACCGUAGGGGAACCUGCGGUUGGAUCACCUCCUU
Molecule: ribosomal RNA, 531 nt
Filed under: Escherichia coli
Lineage: Bacteria; Pseudomonadati; Pseudomonadota; Gammaproteobacteria; Enterobacterales; Enterobacteriaceae
Description: bacterial SSU rRNA
Rfam family: Bacterial small subunit ribosomal RNA
Source: RNAcentral